RNAcentral lists this ribosomal RNA (26 nucleotides) under Halimeda goreaui. RNAcentral describes it as "partial 18S ribosomal RNA". The record is from RNAcentral. Lineage: Eukaryota; Viridiplantae; Chlorophyta; Ulvophyceae; Bryopsidales; Halimedaceae.
CCUGCGAAAAGAUCAUUAUCGGCACA